GAUCUGGCUCAGGAUGAACGCUAGCGACAGGCUUAACACAUGCAAGUCGAGGGGCAGCAUAAAAGUAGCAAUACUUGGUGGCGACCGGCGCACGGGUGAGUAACGCGUAUGCAACCUACCUAUCAGAGGGGAAUAACCCGGCGAAAGUCGGACUAAUACCGCAUAAAACAGGGGCACCGCAUGGUGAUAUUUGUUAAAGAAAUUCGCUGAUAGAUGGGCAUGCGUUCCAUUAGGUAGUUGGUGAGGUAACGGCUCACCAAGCCGACGAUGGAUAGGGGAACUGAGAGGUUGGUCCCCCACACUGGUACUGAGACACGGACCAGACUCCUACGGGAGGCAGCAGUGAGGAAUAUUGGUCAAUGGGCGGGAGCCUGAACCAGCCAAGUCGCCGUGAAGGAAGAAGGAUCUAUGGUUCGUAAACUUCUUUUGCAGGGGAAUAAAGUGCAGGACGUGUCCUGUUUUGUAUGUACCCUGAGAAUAAGGAUCGGCUAACUCCGUGCCAGCCGCCGC
RNAcentral lists this ribosomal RNA (510 nucleotides) under uncultured bacterium. Its description in RNAcentral is "bacterial SSU rRNA". It matches the Rfam family "Bacterial small subunit ribosomal RNA", at positions 15 to 518 of the family's 1533-position model. The record is from RNAcentral.